RNAcentral lists this unclassified non-coding RNA (200 nucleotides) under Sordariomycetes sp. RNAcentral describes it as "partial internal transcribed spacer 2". Lineage: Eukaryota; Fungi; Ascomycota; Sordariomycetes. The record is from RNAcentral.
UUAAGUUCAGCGGGUAUUCCUACCUGAUCCGAGGUCAACAUUCAGAAAAUUGGGGGGUUUAACGGCCGGGAACCGCCACACUUCCAAAGCGAGAGAGAUUACUACGCUCGGAGUUAUAGCGAGCCCGCCACUGUUUUUCAGGGCCUGCGGCCGAAGCCGCAGAAGCCCCAACACCAAGCAAGAGAGCUUGAGGGUUGAAA